UACGUAGGGUGCGAGCGUUGUCCGGAAUUAUUGGGCGUAAAGAGCUCGUAGGCGGUGUGUCACGUCGGCCGUGAAAACCUGCAGCUUAACUGUGGGCGUGCGGUCGAUACGGGCAUCACUGGAGUUCGGCAGGGGAGACUGGAAUUCCUGGUGUAGCGGUGAAAUGCGCAGAUAUCAGGAGGAACACCGGUGGCGAAGGCGGGGUCUCUGGGCCGAUACUGACGCUGAGGAGCGAAAGCGUGGGGAGCGAACAGG
This 255-nucleotide ribosomal RNA is filed under the name uncultured bacterium. RNAcentral's name for it is "partial 16S ribosomal RNA". It matches the Rfam family "Bacterial small subunit ribosomal RNA", at positions 524 to 776 of the family's 1533-position model. The record is from RNAcentral.